UUGAGCAAUGCACAUUCGUAUUGCAGAAUGAAACUUGGAGGAGUCUGGUGUGAUGUUAUUACCUCCUUUUGCACGAAUCACCGAAAACAAACUUUCAAGGCAAUCUUGAGUUAAGCGUCUUACUAAAAGAUAGAGGUCUGCGAAAUACUUUGCAUUCAUCAAAUGAGAUGCUAUUAAACACAUCAAAUAAAUUAUCUAACAGCUUGAUAAAUUUUGCAGUAUAGACUGCUUUGGAACAAAGUUGAUUAUUUGAUACAAGUGUUAAGAUUGCAGAGCUUACAGUGUGACUAAAAGUCUGUGCUGCCAAACAUACACGCAUUGGAGAAAAUGGAGGCAACUUGAUAUGUAUUUCUUUAAGCUUUGGGGCUAGUCUUGGCACUUUAUCUUUAUCAAGAUUAUAAAAAGCUACAAUAUCUGUCCAUGAGUAUAUUUCGUUUUGAUGCUUGAAGUCAUACUUUUUAAAAUUAUUUCUAACCGAUUUUAAAAGGUGAGGUGUAUCGUACAUAAAGAAUAUUUUAUUAUCUUCAUAAAUUAUCCAUGGUUCAUUUUUUGUCACGCCGAGUAGUUUUCUUAAUUGUUGAUUAUUUGUUCCUUGGUCGCAAAUAAUGACUUUUGGAAUAAGAUUUAUUGAAUGUAUUUUGUAAAUUGUACUUGAUAUAAUAGUUUUAAGUUUUACUCCUAGUAUAGGUCCAUUUGAAAGAAAGUAACCAAUUACUUGUUUUCCAUGAAUGUUUUAUACCUUUUAACAUUAUAACUAAGGCUUGAUUACACUGUAAAAUACUUUUUGAAUCAAUCAAAUUUGCCAAAUUGCCAAAAUCUUCAUAACCCGAAAACAUAUCGUUUUGGGAAUUGUAGGAUAUAAAUUGUUUUAUUGACAUUUCAUCAAAAACUAUUGACACAGCUCUAUCUGAUAGUGGUGAAGAUGAUAAUAUAAAUUUAAGCACUUCUAAAAUGUUUUCAUUUAUGCCACAAGCUACAUUUAAAUUUUGGAGCCAUCGCCUAAGUGAUCUUACUGUAGGUAAACACAAAAACUUUCUCAUGAAUGUGUAGCCUUUAGGAGAGUUAUAAUAUAAACUCAAAGCAAACUUUUUUUCAUCCUCUUUAAAACGCCAUGAUUUUUUUUUUAAACUCAUAAGUCUCAUCUGUGUUUUUAACAAAAAAUUAUUAUUUGUCUUUUCUACCAUAAUUUUAGUUUUGUCACUAUUUUUUGUUUUUAAAUUUUGUAUUUGUUUAUUUUUAGUGUGAAUCAUUUUUUGGUAAACUCGUAUCUUUGUUUUUAAUUUGGUUAUUUUUUUUUGAAGUUCUGAAUUAUUUUGAGUAUCUGAUAAUAAGUUACCUGUUAACAAACAUUGAAGUUUAUUUGAUUCAACUAUCUUAUAAAAUAUAUUGAUCCAUUGUUUAUUUUUUUAAAUCAAAUCAAAAUUGUUAUGUGAUUAUUUAUUUGACCACUGUAGAUAACCAAAUAAGUUAAUGAUAAUUUUUUUUUUUUUGUUAUUCAAUAUAAAUUAAUUAAUUAAAAUUAUUUAUUUAAAAAUAUUUUUUGAAUUGAUACUAAAUUCUCAAACAGAACAUCUCUAAAGUAAAAAAAAGUAAUUAAGAGGAAACUUACAUUCAAGUAAAUCUUCUUGUUUCAUAGAAUUUUUGUCAAAAUUUAAAGAGCGUGGCAUAAAUGUUCUUUUAUUACAUUUUUUAUUUACUGAAAUUUUAAAAAGUUCUCUACCUGUAAAGUAAAAUAUUGUACAAGCUAUUAUAAUAGUUAAAAUUAUUAGUAUUGAAGUUAAAUUAAUAAAUUUUACUACCAUUAUCAUUAGGAUUUGGGUUUCGAGGGCUCCACCCAGGUUCUUUCCUCUCAAAUUGAUUUUCAGUGUGGUCAAUUUUUACAUUUGAGAGACUUUCAAGGUCUAUUUGUUUUUCACUGUGAUCUAAUGUAAAUUAAUAUUGUAUUGAAUUGUUGAAAAUUAAAUUAAGUAAAAAAGUAAUAAAUCACAUAUGUAUAUUUA
Aphis gossypii (cotton aphid) is the source of this 2000-nucleotide long non-coding RNA. RefSeq lists it as uncharacterized. The record is from RefSeq and is a predicted model, not a curated record. The transcript has 2 exons. Lineage: Eukaryota; Metazoa; Arthropoda; Insecta; Hemiptera; Aphididae.